RNAcentral lists this ribosomal RNA (491 nucleotides) under uncultured bacterium. RNAcentral describes it as "partial 16S ribosomal RNA". It matches the Rfam family "Bacterial small subunit ribosomal RNA", at positions 28 to 507 of the family's 1533-position model. The record is from RNAcentral.
GAUGAACGCUGGCUACAGGCUUAACACAUGCAAGUCGAGGGGAAACGCCGGGGAAGCUUGCUUCCCCGGGCGUCGACCGGCGCACGGGUGAGUAACGCGUAUCCAACCUGCCUCUGACUGAGGGAUAACCCGUCGAAAGUCGGCCUAAUACCCCAUGGCAUCGUCUGCGGGCAUCCAACGACGAUUAAAGAUUUCAUCGGUCAGGGAUGGGGAUGCGUCUGAUUAGCUUGUUGGCGGGGUAACGGCCCACCAAGGCUACGAUCAGUAGGGGUUCUGAGAGGAAGGUCCCCCACAUUGGAACUGAGACACGGUCCAAACUCCUACGGGAGGCAGCAGUGAGGAAUAUUGGUCAAUGGGCGGGAGCCUGAACCAGCCAAGUAGCGUGCAGGAUGACGGCCCUAUGGGUUGUAAACUGCUUUUAUGCGGGGAUAAAGUGAGGGACGUGUCCUUCAUUGCAGGUACCGCAUGAAUAAGGACCGGCUAAUUCCGUG